RNAcentral lists this non-coding RNA (2159 nucleotides) under Streptomyces afghaniensis 772. RNAcentral describes it as "Bacterial large subunit ribosomal RNA". It matches the Rfam family "Bacterial large subunit ribosomal RNA", at positions 903 to 2925 of the family's 2925-position model. The record is from Rfam by way of RNAcentral. Lineage: Bacteria; Bacillati; Actinomycetota; Actinomycetes; Kitasatosporales; Streptomycetaceae.
UAGAGCACUGGAUAGGCGAUGGGCCCUACCGGGUUACUGACCUUAGCCAAACUCCGAAUGCCGGUAAGUGAGAGCGCGGCAGUGAGACUGUGGGGGAUAAGCUCCAUGGUCGAGAGGGAAACAGCCCAGAGCAUCGACUAAGGCCCCUAAGCGUACGCUAAGUGGGAAAGGAUGUGGAGUCGCACAGACAACCAGGAGGUUGGCUUAGAAGCAGCCACCCUUGAAAGAGUGCGUAAUAGCUCACUGGUCUAGUGAUUCCGCGCCGACAAUGUAGCGGGCUCAAGCGUACCGCCGAAGUCGUGUCAUUGCGAUAUAUACCCCCAACGGGGAUCGUGAUGGGUAGGGGAGCGUCGUGUGCCGGGUGAAGCAGCACCGGAAGGUAGUUGUGGACGGUUCACGAGUGAGAAUGCAGGCAUGAGUAGCGAUUCACACGUGAGAAACGUGUGCGCCGAUUGACUAAGGGUUCCUGGGUCAAGCUGAUCUGCCCAGGGUAAGUCGGGACCUAAGGCGAGGCCGACAGGCGUAGUCGAUGGAUAACCGGUUGAUAUUCCGGUACCCGCUGUGAAGCGUCAAACAUCGAAUCCAGUGAUGCUAAGCCCGUGAAGCCGUUCCGGACCCUUCGGGGAAAGGAAAGUGGUGGAGCCGGUGACCCGAUCUGGUAGUAGGUGAGUGAUGGGGUGACGCAGGAAGGUAGUCCAGCCCGGGCGGUGGUUGUCCCGGGGUAAGGGUGUAGGCCGUGCGGUAGGUAAAUCCGUCGCACACAAGGCUGAGACCUGAUGCCGAGCCGAUUGUGGUGAAGUGGAUGAUCCUAUGCUGUCGAGAAAAGCCUCUAGCGAGUUUCAUGGCGGCCCGUACCCUAAACCGACUCAGGUGGUCAGGUAGAGAAUACCGAGGCGUUCGGGUGAACUAUGGUUAAGGAACUCGGCAAAAAUGCCCCCGUAACUUCGGGAGAAGGGGGGCCACAUCUGGUGAUGAGCUUUGCGCUCUGAGCUGGGGGUGGCCGCAGAGACCAGCGAGAAGCGACUGUUUACUAAAAACACAGGUCCGUGCGAAGCCGUAAGGCGAUGUAUACGGACUGACGCCUGCCCGGUGCUGGAACGUUAAGGGGACCGGUUAGCUCCAUUUCGGUGGGGCGAAGCUGAGAACUUAAGCGCCAGUAAACGGCGGUGGUAACUAUAACCAUCCUAAGGUAGCGAAAUUCCUUGUCGGGUAAGUUCCGACCUGCACGAAUGGCGUAACGACUUCUCGACUGUCUCAACCAUAGGCCCGGUGAAAUUGCACUACGAGUAAAGAUGCUCGUUUCGCGCAGCAGGACGGAAAGACCCCGGGACCUUUACUACAGUUUGAUAUUGGUGUUCGGUUCGGCUUGUGUAGGAUAGCUGGGAGACUGUGAAGCGCUAACGCCAGUUAGUGUGGAGUCGUCGUUGAAAUACCAGUCUGGUCGUGCUGGAUGUCUAACCUGGGUCCGUGAUCCGGAUCAGGGACAGUGUCUGAUGGGUAGUUUAACUGGGGCGGUUGCCUCCUAAAGAGUAACGGAGGCGCCCAAAGGUUCCCUCAGCCUGGUUGGCAAUCAGGUGUUGAGUGUAAGUGCACAAGGGAGCUUGACUGUGAGACCGACGGGUCGAGCAGGGACGAAAGUCGGGACUAGUGAUCCGGCGGUGGCUUGUGGAAGCGCCGUCGCUCAACGGAUAAAAGGUACCCCGGGGAUAACAGGCUGAUCUUCCCCAAGAGUCCAUAUCGACGGGAUGGUUUGGCACCUCGAUGUCGGCUCGUCGCAUCCUGGGGCUGGAGUCGGUCCCAAGGGUUGGGCUGUUCGCCCAUUAAAGCGGUACGCGAGCUGGGUUUAGAACGUCGUGAGACAGUUCGGUCCCUAUCCGCUGUGCGCGUAGGAGUCUUGAGAAGGGCUGUCCCUAGUACGAGAGGACCGGGACGGACGAACCUCUGGUGUGCCAGUUGUUCUGCCAAGGGCAUGGCUGGUUGGCUACGUUCGGGAGGGAUAACCGCUGAAAGCAUCUAAGCGGGAAGCCUGCUUCGAGAUGAGGACUCCCACCUCCUAGAGAGGGUAAGGCUCCCAGUAGACGACUGGGUUGAUAGGCCGGAUAUGGAAGCACGGUAACGUGUGGAGUUGACCGGUACUAAUAGGCCGAGGGCUUGUCCUC